This is a long non-coding RNA of Mauremys reevesii (Reeves's turtle), 2860 nucleotides long. RefSeq lists it as uncharacterized. The transcript is spliced from 4 exons. The record is from RefSeq and is a predicted model, not a curated record. NCBI's taxonomy places the organism in Eukaryota, Metazoa, Chordata, Testudines, Geoemydidae.
UUGAGAAUGAAUGGGUUCUACCAUUGUAGUGCACUGAGAUGAGGAAGAUAAACCAGGUAAGCCCCCAGGAAGUGAGGUAUCCCCAGUAAAGAGGUAUCCACUUCCUUUUAGCAGUGGAAAAAAGACUUUCCUCUGCAAGUUGGAGCUUGUCUGCUGGGAAGGCAAGAGCACUGGAAAUUUAGCUGGUCCCUUACUGGUAAAAAGGGGGGUUGCUGGUCGGCAGAAGAAAAGAAAAGAAAAGAAAAGACAUGCUGGAGGGGACAAGAGGGAGUAAGAAUGCUGAUAGGAAAAGGAGGCUAUACCACAGCCUACAAAAAGGGUUGUUGCACAGUGAUUUUCUGUAUUGGAUGAUGUCUUUUGAAAUGAUCUGUCAGUAUGCGGAUCAUUGCUUACACAGCCUGGAAAAUCUCAGCUAUGCCAGCUAAAAAUCUCCUGAUUUCCUUGGUAUUGUGAAGGCCUCACAGCUCUCUCAAGAUUUUCCAGAAGUGCAUGGAGAUGAGAGGAGAUGGAUACAAGCUAUUGCCACACUGAGUAGAAGACAUUUGGCCACUGCAGCCUACCAGGGUCUGUCUGCUCAAUCCCCACCAUUCAGCCUUGGGAAACCUGUCCCCUCAUCUACACACCCCAGGUAUAAGAGAAUUAUAGCAGUCAAGGAAGACUUAUUCCACUCAGGAAACAAAAGGAAUCAACUCUCCAGCUCCUCACCCCACCCAAGACCCAAAGAGGACUUGCUCCACACUCAGAUAAUCAUCUGCCAUACAAAGACUGCAGGUUAUCCUCCCUGACAUCAUUACUAGUAGCAAAGAAUGCAAAAGGACCCUCCUUCUAUCACUGCUGCUGUGAGGAGUUAUGAGGUAAGGAGAAAUCAUGAGGAACUUCAGAAGGAAACAGGAGUGUUGAGAAAUACUGCAACAGAGAGUUGAUGGUGAAUGAAGAGAUGCCCUUGGAAGGAAAAAGAGUAUGGAAUUCAUGUUUUUAGUUGCAGAGAGGAUAUUGUAGAGGUGAGAGGGGGUAUUGUUAUAUCUGGGAAUAUUAUAUAUGUCACUAGAUGAGACGUGACUUUUGAGGGAGCCUCCUGUUAACAGUUUGGCAGAACAUGAUUGUUUUAUGCUGUGGAAUAACAUCACAAUGCUUGCCAGAAGUUACUGGGUUUUUCUUUAACAUCUGGACAAAAACAGUUAAAAUAAUUUUGCUCCAAGCCUUGCAAGCAGGUUAUUGGUGGUGGGGGGUCUCUACAUAGUAAUUUUUUAGAUUUUUUUAUGGCCUGGGUCUACAAAGCCUUGUCAUUUAAAAGUUCUAACACUGUAUUAUUGAAGUGCUGUAAUUUUACAAAGACUAGCUAAUUCUGAAUGUCUGAUUAUAGAUGGGCAAAUAUUAACAAUUUCUGUCCAACAGAGUUUACUAGUUAAAUGUAUUAUUCCAGCACCACAUUUCUCCCACAUUUCAAAAGUUGUAAUAGCCAGAUUUUAAACAGAUUUUCUGAAAAGAAAAUCAUUCAUGUAAGUGGAGCUACAAGCUACUAUUUUAUGACUGAAUGUUGCCAAUCUAAUAUCACAUUGCAGCAGGUCAAAAUGUAAAAAGAAUGGCAUUUCCACUGCAAGAAAAUCUCUGCAUGAAAGUGAUUUUACUGAAAUUUGUAUAGUUAUGCAACUGGACAGCUGCAUUUGUCUUGUCUUGUCAUGAUACCAUAUUAUAGGCAAGGUCAGUGGGAAUGUUUAUUGUUAAGGUUGCCUGACGCUUCCCAUUAUAAGAUCCUGUGUACAGUUGCUUAUAAUUUUGCCAAAAUUUGGGCUGAAAUUUUACAUUCUGUGUCUCUGACUCAAACAAUCUUUGGGGGAGCCGGUGUGGGAAGGAGAAAUGAGGUUUUGGGGGUACGACUGGAAGAUGGGGAGAAAGGAGAAAGAUUCAACAGGGAAUUGGGAGGGUGGAACUGGGUCUGAGCAAGGAGACUGGGACACAGAGUGAUAGUAGGAGCUUGGGAUUCAGACAGAGGAGAGACUAAGACUAUCUGGACAAAGAUACUGGGACAAGGAGAGAAGAGUGGGGAAGAAAUUGGACUGAAACAGGAACAGGUAGGAAGGGAUGGGGCACAUGGUGCCAACCUUUGGGGUAACACGGCCCAAACAAACUCCCCUCCAGAGCCAUGACUGUUAGAGAACAUUCAGUUCCAGAGCCUGGAAUGGGACCCAAGAUUCUUAAGUCUCACCUUCCUUAGCUUUAUCAAUAUUUUUGAAACCCUGUAACAAAAGAUGUUUCAUCUGCCCUUAGUGUUGGUCCAGAUAGAGAAUGAAUUACUCCAUUAGCUCAAGUGACAGAGGACUGUGCAGUGGAUCUGGAGGUGCUAACUUUGCUGAUGCCCCCAUGUCAAUAUGAUGUCAUGUGUUGGAAUUGGGUGGGGGUUAAGUUUGUUUUUAUAAAACCUAGGAAAUCACUUUACAAAAAAGUCAAUGUUAAAUAAACAAUAAAGAUUCAAUUUCAAACCCUCAAAAUUAGGAAAUGCCAAAAUUAAGGCUGCCUGUGCAAUCUUAAUUCAGUCCCUUUGUGCAUAUGCAUUUUGAUAUGGUCUGUAAUUACAUUAUGUAAUUUAGACUUCACUAAGAAGGGAGCAUUACUGUAGCUGUGGAUCUUAGAGAGAAAUUGAAACACAGGUGGAAUUAGAAUAUUGCAGAUGGCAUCAGCACUGAAUAAAGGACUUUAAACAAAGAAUGAAUGGAACUAUGCUGAAUUUAUGAGAGAUGACAAGAAGGAUUCCAGAUGGUUUAAUGUUGAUUCCAGUUCUUAUUUUAUUAUGGAGGGGAACUAGUCUCUCCAUAAUUAAUGAUUGAGUUAGCUCCCUAUUAAUUUUUUUCAACACCCACAU